GGGUUCCCAACAAUCCUGUUCUUCCCUGGUGGAAACAAGAGCUUCGAUCCGGUAAGCAAAGCUUGUUCACUAUAUCAAACAGUGUUUCCAAAACCUGCAAAUGUUUUUUUUUCUUAUGUUACUUUUGAGUACUGAAGUUGUUAAAAUUGUUGCUCAUUAAAAAAAAAAAAAAAAAAAAAAAAAAAAAAAAAAAAAAAAAAAACAGAUCACUGUGGAUGUAGACCGAACAGUAGUGGAACUGUACAAAUUCCUGAAGAAGCAUGCAUCAAUCCCAUUUAAACUUGAGAAACCAGCGACGCCUGAUGCCGUGAGCUCGACCAAGAAAGCUGAUGAGAAGAUUGAA
Molecule: long non-coding RNA, 343 nt
Filed under: Capsella grandiflora
Lineage: Eukaryota; Viridiplantae; Streptophyta; Magnoliopsida; Brassicales; Brassicaceae
Description: long non-coding RNA (CGRA_LNC000503)
Source: RNAcentral